CCAGCAUCCAGGAUGUCAAAGGUCUGUCCCGGGACAAGAGUGAAGUCAAACCUCUGGAGCAGUUUGGCCAUCACCACUUUAGCCUCCAUCUAAAAAACACACCAGCCCCCACAGAGAUGAGUCAGUGUGUUUAUAGCUCAUCCAACGUCAGUGCCACAUCGUGCUAUCACUGGAGAGAGACCAGUCAGCUUAAAGUUAGGAGCUGGGACUCAAAAGAGUAUCACAGGCUGCUGGAGACACGUGAAAUAACAGAGACUCACCGGCAAUGAAGAAUGUCACGAAAUUGUCCAGCAUAAACUCCUCAUCUUCUUCAGUCAUGAUUUCCUCUGAAACAAUAAGAAAAUCUACAUAUAAAUUAA
Oreochromis niloticus (Nile tilapia) is the source of this 359-nucleotide long non-coding RNA. RefSeq lists it as uncharacterized. NCBI's taxonomy places the organism in Eukaryota, Metazoa, Chordata, Actinopteri, Cichliformes, Cichlidae. The transcript has 3 exons. The record is from RefSeq and is a predicted model, not a curated record.